CAGUAUACAUACAGCUCUAUACACAAAUCAUUUUUCUUACUUUUACACAAACCUCCUAAAUAUAGCUCAAAAACACAAACAACAUCAACAUCUCCCAACUACACGACAGCCCACCAUUUCAAUGGCAUAAACUCCUCUAAAAACCCAUUUUUAAGGCUGACUUUCAACUACCCCUUUUGAUCUUUUGCCUAUUUUUCGCAAAUCUUGACCUACCCUUUUGUUGCAAAUUUGGAAACCCCUAUUUGAUAAUAUUUUGGGCAAAAUUUGAAGUAUACCAUUUUUGGUUAAAGUUUGGAGAAUCCAUGGCCGGCACCACUACCGCCGGCGAUACCAGCACCAGCAGUAGAAGCAACCUAGCGCCGACAAAAAGUCUGAGCAAAAAGGAAAAUCAAGGACUUUUAUUGGGUAGGUAUGAAAUUGGGAAAUUACUAGGGCAUGGUACGUUUGCUAAGGUUUAUCAUGCUAGGAAUGUGAAGACAAAUGAGAGCGUUGCUAUAAAAGUGAUUGAUAAAGAAAAGAUCUUGAAAGUUGGUCUUAUUGAUCAUAUAAAACGCGAGAUCUCAAUUUUAAGGAGAGUUAGACACCCAAACAUAGUCCAAUUGUAUGAAGUUAUGGCCACAAAGGCCAAAAUUUACUUUGUCAUGGAGUAUGUUAAAGGUGGUGAGCUUUUUAAUAAGGUUGCUAAAGGCAGGCUUAAGGAAGAAGUUGCUAGAAAAUAUUUCCAGCAGUUAAUCUCUGCUGUAGCUUUUUGUCAUGCUCGUGGUGUUUACCAUAGGGACCUAAAGCCUGAAAAUAUACUGUUAGAUGAAGAUGGGAAUGUUAAAGUUUCUGACUUUGGCCUUAGUGCCAUUUCAGAGCAGAUAAAGCAAGAUGGUUUGUUUCAUACUUUUUGUGGUACCCCGGCUUAUGUGGCGCCGGAGGUGUUAGCAAGAAAGGGUUAUGAUGCAGCCAAAGUUGAUAUUUGGUCAUGUGGGGUGAUACUCUUUGUGCUAAUGGCAGGGUAUUUGCCAUUUCAUGAUCAGAAUAUUAUGGCUAUGUAUAAGAAGAUAUAUAAGGGUGAAUUUAGAUGUCCUAGAUGGUUUUCACCCGAAUUGACUAGGUUUUUAAGGCAGCUUCUUGAUACUAAUCCUGAAACUAGGAUCACUAUUCAGGACGUUAUGAACAAUAGGUGGUUUAAGAAGGGUUUUAAAUAUGUCAAGUUUUAUAUUGAGGAUGACAAGUUGUGUAGUGUUAAUGAUGAUGAUUAUGAUGGAGGGGUUGAUUAUUCGUCUGAUAGAUCGGAGUCUGAACCUGAAAUGGAGAUGAGAAGGAAGCCUGCUACUUUGCCUAGGCCAGCUAGCUUGAAUGCAUUUGAUAUCAUAUCGUUUUCUCGUGGUUUUGAUUUGUCUGGUUUGUUUGAAGAGGGAGGAGAUGGGGCAAGGUUUGUAUCCGGGGCUCCUGUGCCCAAGAUCAUAAGUAAGUUGGAGGAAAUUGCUAAAGUUGUGAGCUUUGCGGUGAGGAAGAAGGAUUGUAGAGUGAGUUUAGAGGGGUCUAAAGAGGGUGAAAAGGGACCAUUGACAAUUGCAGCUGAGAUAUUUGAGUUGACGCCGUCGCUAAGAGUUGUUGAGGUGAAGAAGAAAGGUGGAGAUAGAGUGGAGUAUGAGGAGUUUUACAACAGGGAAUUGAAGCCAGGGUUACAGAAUUUAUCGCUUGAAGUUGGAGACCCCAUCCAUUCAUCUUAUUUGCCAUCAGAUACUGAAUAGAGAGAAAGAGAAGGGAAAAGGGUACCACAAGUCUGAGUGCAGGCAACAACUAAGGCAAUGACAUUUCAUUGAGGUAAGUGUGGACUUCUAACAAUUGGUGAAGGCUACUUCCGCUAGAACGGAGAACUCCUGAAUUACAAAAAGCAGAGCCGAAUGCCAAGCUGGAUGGAUCAAGCGCUAACCCCCGCCAACUCGCCCUUUUGCGUUGCUCUUCGUCACAAGUUGAUGUUCAAGAUCAAGAUUUAACCAUUUCAACUCAGGCCAGUGCAUAACAUGGUUCGUAGUCUAUUUGUAUAUUAGUAGUCUGUCUAUGGAACUAGCAGUUGUAGCCAAAAUAAUAAAGGUCUUCUGAUUUGCACUUCACGCCAAGUUAGUGGAUGUAAUACUUAUGCAGAGAAAUAAAAAAGAAAAUUGAAAAUGGCAUAAGGAAUAGUCAAAGUCGGUUUUUAAAUUAUAAAAACUUUGUAAUAAUGUUUCUGGACCAUACCAAAAAAGAAUAUUUCCGGACCACUGUGUAGUGGAUGAUUGAAAGCUUUGUUUAGUGUCGUGAGACGGCAGUUUCGCGACUA
Nicotiana attenuata is the source of this 2311-nucleotide RNA transcript. It is a transcript of the gene named CBL-interacting serine/threonine-protein kinase 12-like, with no coding region annotated. The transcript is spliced from 3 exons. Lineage: Eukaryota; Viridiplantae; Streptophyta; Magnoliopsida; Solanales; Solanaceae. The record is from RefSeq and is a predicted model, not a curated record.